GACGAACGCUGGCGGCGUGCUUAACACAUGCAAGUCGAACGGUGAAGCGCCUUCCUUUUUGGUGGGUGUGGAUGAGUGGCGAACGGGUGAGUAACACGUGAGUAACCUGCCCCCUUCUUCUGGAUAACCGCAUGAAAGUGUGGCUAAUACGGGAUAUUCUGGGUCUGUCGCAUGAUGGGUCUGGGAAAGAUAUUGUUUCGGUGGGGGAUGGGCUCGCGGCCUAUCAGCUUGUUGGCGGGGUGAUGGCCUACCAAGGCGGUGACGGGUAGCCGGCCUGAGAGGGUGGACGGUCACACUGGGACUGAGACACGGCCCAGACUCCUACGGGAGGCAGCAGUGGGGAAUAUUGCACAAUGGGCGAAAGCCUGAUGCAGCGACGCCGCGUGAGGGAUGGAGGCCUUCGGGUUGUGAACCUCUUUCGCCAGUGAAGCAGGCCUGCCUCGUUUGUGGGUGGGUUGACGGUAGCUGGAGAAGAAGCGCCGGCUAACUACGUG
RNAcentral lists this ribosomal RNA (494 nucleotides) under uncultured bacterium. Its description in RNAcentral is "partial 16S ribosomal RNA". It matches the Rfam family "Bacterial small subunit ribosomal RNA", at positions 28 to 507 of the family's 1533-position model. The record is from RNAcentral.